UAGGGAAUCUUCGGCAAUGGACGGAAGUCUGACCGAGCAACGCCGCGUGAGUGAAGAAGGUUUUCGGAUCGUAAAGCUCUGUUGUAAGAGAAGAACGAGUGUGAGAGUGGAAAGUUCACACUGUGACGGUAUCUUACCAGAAAGGGACGGCUAACUACGUGCCAGCAGCCGCGGUAAUACGUAGGUCCCGAGCGUUGUCCGGAUUUAUUGGGCGUAAAGCGAGCGCAGGCGGUUAGAUAAGUCUGAAGUUAAAGGCUGUGGCUCAACCAUAGUUCGCCUUGGAAACUGUCAAACUUGAGUGCAGAAGGGGAGAGUGGAAUUCCAUGUGUAGCGGUGAAAUGCGUAGAUAUGUGGAGGAACACCGGUGGCGAAAGCGGCUCUCUGGUCUGUAACUGACGCUGAGGCUCGAAAGCGUGGGGAGCGAACAGGAUUAGAUACCCUGGUAGUCCGCGCCGUAAACGAUGAGUGCUAGGUGUUGGAUCCUUUCCGGGAUUCAGUGCCGCAGCUAACGCAUUAAGCACUCCGCCUGGGGAGUACGACCGCAAGGUUG
RNAcentral lists this ribosomal RNA (550 nucleotides) under uncultured bacterium. RNAcentral describes it as "bacterial SSU rRNA". It matches the Rfam family "Bacterial small subunit ribosomal RNA", at positions 355 to 896 of the family's 1533-position model. The record is from RNAcentral.